UACGUAGGGGGCAAGCGUUGUCCGGAUUUAUUGGGCGUAAAGAGCGUGUAGGCGGCUAGAUAGGUCCGUUGUGAAAACUGGAGGCUCAACCUCCAGCUGUCGAUGGAAACCAUCUGGCUAGAGUCCGGAAGAGGAGAGUGGAAUUCCUGGUGUAGCGGUGAAAUGCGCAGAUAUCAGGAAGAACCCCCGGGGCGAGGGCGGCUCUCUGGACGUGACUGACGCUGAGACGCGAAAGCGUGGGGAGCGAACAGG
This 252-nucleotide ribosomal RNA is filed under the name uncultured bacterium. RNAcentral describes it as "partial 16S ribosomal RNA". It matches the Rfam family "Bacterial small subunit ribosomal RNA", at positions 524 to 776 of the family's 1533-position model. The record is from RNAcentral.